Molecule: ribosomal RNA, 692 nt
Filed under: Najas kingii
Lineage: Eukaryota; Viridiplantae; Streptophyta; Magnoliopsida; Alismatales; Hydrocharitaceae
Description: eukaryotic LSU rRNA
Rfam family: 5.8S ribosomal RNA (bases 285-440)
Source: RNAcentral
GCGGAGGAUCAUUGUCGAACGUCGAGAGAACGAGGCGAACCGGUCAUCGGAUUCCAGCGGGGGGAUCGUGGGGGCAUAUCCUUGCCUCUCGGUCCCUCCGCACGCGCUUCCCAUCCCCUCCCUCCUCUCGCGGAGUUGGGAAUGCGCCAUUCUCAACAAACCCUCGACGCGGGCCGCGUCAAGGAUCAUCGAACCACAACUACAGGGCGUGACAUUGCAUGCUCUCGCCUCUUGGCGGCGCGCGCGCGAUUGUCCGCGUCCCUGUCGGAACAAAAGAUAGCGAUGACUCUCGGCAACGGAUAUCUUGGCUCUCGCAUCGAUGAAGAACGUAGCGAAAUGCGAUACUUGGUGUGAAUUGCAGAAUCCCGUGAACCAUCGAGUCUUUGAACGCAAGUUGCGCCCGGAGCCGUCAGGCCGAGGGCACGCCUGCCUGGGCGUCGCACGUACCAUCGCCCCCACCCUCAUCUCCCGUUGAUGCGUGGCUUGGGGAGUUGGAUGCUGGCCAUCCGUGUGGCGGAAUCGCGGUUGGCUUGAUUUUUCGCAUGGCGGCGCGUCCGGUCACGACGGGUGGUGAUCGUUUCGAAGAUGCCAGUGUACGUCGUGAUCGUGUGCGGUCGUUUCCUUCCGAUCGCCCCUGCGGAGCACGGGCACUUUCUUGUGCCCGACCUCCAAUCGUACGGACCCCAGGUCAG